This is a long non-coding RNA of Oreochromis aureus, 934 nucleotides long. The record is from Ensembl. Lineage: Eukaryota; Metazoa; Chordata; Actinopteri; Cichliformes; Cichlidae.
AUUUUUCGACUCGACACGAGGCAGAUCCUAGCUAAGUAAGUUUCAAAACUACAUGCCCUGGGCUUCCAGCCAAUUCUGUUUCUUGGACAGUUUGACCGUAAGGGCCGUAUAGUAGGGGACGUGAUCACUCACAUCGAACCAGCGGAAGGUGCUGCACGUGACAUCCUCAUGAAGAUGAGGAAACUUUAUGAACACCUUCUGAGAAAAUUACAAGCUUCACCUCCUGCUAAAAGUUCUACACCAGCAGCUGGACCAUCCUCUGCUGACAGUGUCGAUGCUGGACCAGUCCCAGACCCAGAGGCUCUAAACGAGGAAUUUAUUUUGCAUUUAAAGCCGGAACCAACAUCUUCCCUCUGUCAGCCUCCUGUGUCCUACUCUUCAUCUCUGCUUCCUCCUGCAUCCUCCUCUCCAUCUCUGCUUUCUCCUGCAUCCUCCUCUCCAUCUCCGCUUCCUCCUGCAUCCUCCUCUCCAUCUCCGCUUCCUUCUGCAUCCUCCUCUUCAUCUCCGCUUCCUGCAUUUCCCUCAAUUUCUACGGCGUACACCUUGGAUGUCCCAAACAAAAAAAGGACAAGGAAAGAAUGCCAAAAACACCGUACACAAAAGAUUUUCAAAUAUGAACAGAUAGUAGAGAGGAGAGUUGUAAAUGAAAAAGAAGUUAAAGUCAAGUGGAAGCCCUGCUCGAUAUGGUAUGUAGUAACAACUUUGUUGGACGGGAACAGACAUUCAUAUUGAUGAUAAAUAGUUAUCACCACAGUUUGAAUUCAUGUAUUUGGACUAAAGUAAAUUGGGAGCUUUUAGCUUUUAUCUGAGGAGCUUGAUAGCAGUCCACCUCCAAAGUUCAUUAAGAGAUUUGGAGGUGGACAUGGUCAACACUUUUAAAGGUGAUCAAGUAUUCAAGGAUGAAUGGAGAUUUUCAUUGUGGACUGCAUGAGAG